RNAcentral lists this ribosomal RNA (465 nucleotides) under Vreelandella stevensii. RNAcentral's name for it is "partial 16S ribosomal RNA". It matches the Rfam family "Bacterial small subunit ribosomal RNA", at positions 338 to 795 of the family's 1533-position model. The record is from RNAcentral. Lineage: Bacteria; Pseudomonadati; Pseudomonadota; Gammaproteobacteria; Oceanospirillales; Halomonadaceae.
CCUACGGGUGGCAGCAGUGGGGAAUAUUGGACAAUGGGCGAAAGCCUGAUCCAGCCAUGCCGCGUGUGUGAAGAAGGCCUUCGGGUUGUAAAGCACUUUCAGUGGGGAAGAAAGCCUUGGGGCUAAUACCCUCGAGGAAGGACAUCACCCACAGAAGAAGCACCGGCUAACUCCGUGCCAGCAGCCGCGGUAAUACGGAGGGUGCGAGCGUUAAUCGGAAUUACUGGGCGUAAAGCGCGCGUAGGCGGUCUGAUAAGCCGGUUGUGAAAGCCCCGGGCUCAACCUGGGAACGGCAUCCGGAACUGUCAGGCUAGAGUGCAGGAGAGGAAGGUAGAAUUCCCGGUGUAGCGGUGAAAUGCGUAGAGUUCGGGAGGAAUACCAGUGGCGAAGGCGGCCUUCUGGACUGACACUGACGCUGAGGUGCGAAAGCGUGGGUAGCAAACAGGAUUAGAUACCCCGGUAGUC